UACGUAGGUGGCAAGCGUUGUCCGGAAUUAUUGGGCGUAAAGCGCGCGCAGGUGGUUCCUUAAGUCUGAUGUGAAAGCCCACGGCUCAACCGUGGAAGGUCAUUGGAAACUGGGGAACUUGAGUACAGAAGAGGAAAGUGGAAUUCCAAGUGUAGCGGUGAAAUGCGUAGAUAUUUGGAGGAACACCAGUGGCGAAGGCGACUUUCUGGUCUGUAACUGACACUGAGGCGCGAAAGCGUGGGAGCAAACAGGAUUAGAAACCCCCGUAGUCC
This 272-nucleotide ribosomal RNA is filed under the name uncultured bacterium. RNAcentral's name for it is "partial 16S ribosomal RNA". It matches the Rfam family "Bacterial small subunit ribosomal RNA", at positions 524 to 796 of the family's 1533-position model. The record is from RNAcentral.